UGGCUGUGUAGAUGAUUUUCUGGGAC
Molecule: non-coding RNA, 26 nt
Filed under: Mus musculus (house mouse)
Lineage: Eukaryota; Metazoa; Chordata; Mammalia; Rodentia; Muridae
Source: RNAcentral